UUUGUGCUGUGUUUUGUUUU
This 20-nucleotide microRNA is filed under the name Corchorus olitorius. RNAcentral describes it as "bta-miR-24". The record is from RNAcentral. Lineage: Eukaryota; Viridiplantae; Streptophyta; Magnoliopsida; Malvales; Malvaceae.